RNAcentral lists this ribosomal RNA (253 nucleotides) under uncultured bacterium. RNAcentral's name for it is "partial 16S ribosomal RNA". It matches the Rfam family "Bacterial small subunit ribosomal RNA", at positions 524 to 776 of the family's 1533-position model. The record is from RNAcentral.
UACGUAGGGUGCGAGCGUUGUCCGGAAUUAUUGGGCGUAAAGAGCUCGUAGGCGGUUUGUUGCGUCGGCCGUGAAAACCUGCAGCUUAACUGUGGGCCUGCGGCCGAUACGGGCAGACUUGAGUUCGGUAGGGGAGACUGGAAUUCCAGGUGUAGCGGUGAAAUGCGUAGAUAUCUGGAGGAACACCGGUGGCGAAGGCGGCAUCCUGGACCGGCAUUGACGCUGAGGCGCGAAAGCCAGGGGAGCAAACGGG